RNAcentral lists this long non-coding RNA (556 nucleotides) under Pan troglodytes (chimpanzee). RNAcentral's name for it is "long non-coding RNA NONPTRT015214". Lineage: Eukaryota; Metazoa; Chordata; Mammalia; Primates; Hominidae. The record is from RNAcentral.
GAUUAUGCUAUAUUGAGUCAACCCCUUGUAUACAUGGAUUCUGCUUGAGGGGAUUCAAUUAACCACUGAUAGAAAAUAUUUGGAAAAAAAGCAAUACAACAAUAAAAUUAAUACAAAUAAAAACAACAUAGUAUAACAACUAUUUACAUAAAAUUUAAAUUAUAUUGGAUAUUAAAAGUAAUCUAUACAUGAUUUAAUGUAUAUGAGAGAAUGUGUAUGUGAGCUAAGUUGCAAGCCCUGUGUUUAAAGGUGGAAGUGGUUGACAGGCCUCUGAGCCCAAGCCAAGCCAUCGCAUCCCCUGUGACUUGCACAUAUAUGCUCAGAUGGCCUGAAGGAACUGAAGAAUCACAAAAGAAGUGAAAAGGCCCUGCCCUGCCUUAACUGAUGACAUUCCACCAUUGUGAUUUGGGACCUCCCUUGGGAGAUCAAUCCCCUGUCCUCCUGCUCUUUGCUCCGUGAAAAAGAUCCACCUAUGACCUUGGGUCCUCAGACCCACCAGCCUAAGGAACAUCUCACCAAUUUUAAAUUGGGUAAGCGGCCUCUUCUUACUCUCUUC